UACGUAGGUGGCAAGCGUUGUCCGGAUUUACUGGGCGUAAAGGGUGCGCAGGCCGCGCGGGCAGUCAAAUGUGUAAUCCAGGGGCUCAACCCCUGAACUGCGCUUGAUACUUCCGCGCUAGAACUUUGGAGAGGAGUCUGGAAUUCUCGGUGUAGCAGUGAAAUGCGUGGAUAUCGAGAAGAACACUUAGGGCGUAGGCAAGACUCUGGACAAAUGUUGACGCUCAAGCACGAAGGCUAGGGUAGCGAACGGG
This 253-nucleotide ribosomal RNA is filed under the name uncultured bacterium. RNAcentral describes it as "partial 16S ribosomal RNA". It matches the Rfam family "Bacterial small subunit ribosomal RNA", at positions 524 to 776 of the family's 1533-position model. The record is from RNAcentral.